GAUGAACGCUGGCGGCGUGCUUAACACAUGCAAGUCGAACGGGAAUUCUUUUAUUGAAACUUCGGUCGAUUUAAUUUAAUUCUAGUGGCGGACGGGUGAGUAACGCGUGGGUAACCUGCCUUAUACAGGGGGAUAACAGUCAGAAAUGGCUGCUAAUACCGCAUAAGCGCACAGAGCUGCAUGGCUCAGUGUGAAAAACUCCGGUGGUAUAAGAUGGACCCGCGUUGGAUUAGCUGGUUGGUGGGGUAACGGCCCACCAAGGCGACGAUCCAUAGCCGGCCUGAGAGGGUGAACGGCCACAUUGGGACUGAGACACGGCCCAGACUCCUACGGGAGGCAGCAGUGGGGAAUAUUGCACAAUGGGGGAAACCCUGAUGCAGCGACGCCGCGUGAAGGAAGAAGUAUCUCGGUAUGUAAACUUCUAUAAGCAGGGAAGAUAGUGACGGUACCUGACUAAGAAGCCCCGGCUAAUUACGUG
RNAcentral lists this ribosomal RNA (478 nucleotides) under uncultured bacterium. RNAcentral describes it as "partial 16S ribosomal RNA". It matches the Rfam family "Bacterial small subunit ribosomal RNA", at positions 28 to 507 of the family's 1533-position model. The record is from RNAcentral.